CAGUCGCCGCGGGAAUACAGAGGGUGCAAGUGUUAAUCGGAUUUACUGGGCGUAAAGGGCGCGUAGGUGGUUAUUUAAGUGAGAUGUGAAAGCCCCGGGCUUAACCUGGGAACUGCAUCUUAUACUGGGUAACUGGAGUGCAGUAGAGGGUAGUGGAAUUUCCGGUGUAGCGGUGAAAUGCGUAGAUAUCGGAAGGAACACCAGUGGCGAAGGCGGCUACCUGGACUGAGACUGACACUGAGGCGCGAGAGCGUGGGGAGCAAACAGGAUUAGAUACCCCAGUAGUCCCUGUCUCUUAUAC
This 301-nucleotide ribosomal RNA is filed under the name uncultured bacterium. RNAcentral's name for it is "partial 16S ribosomal RNA". It matches the Rfam family "Bacterial small subunit ribosomal RNA", at positions 509 to 807 of the family's 1533-position model. The record is from RNAcentral.